GCUGCCCUGCGUGCACUAAUCACGUCACCGUUCCCUGAAAUAUUCAGUCUCACUACACCGAGUAAGCAGGAGUUUGCGGCACCGGCACAAUGGAAGAUAAAAAGCAGCCAAAACUACCACUGCCAGCUUUGCUGGUAACUGCUCGCCCUAAUAAAAAAACCUAGAAAAAGAAAAUCUGAGGCAGAAAAGGCUGCAACUAAACAGGUACUGGAUAAAGCCAGAGGACAAACUCGCGUAAACAUCGGUGGAGCAUUUGAAUGGUGGAGACAACUGAUGGAGCUGAAGGGCCUGAAAAGCGAUGCCGAGGUUGCGGUCUUUCUGCUGAACAGGUAAAUCACUGCCAAAGGAGUAGAUCACCACAGAAGACAACGCAUCAUGCAAAGCCUGACCUGUCAGCCAUCCAUGGACACUCAUUUUCUAACAUAUAUAUAUUUCAAAUUUAUUAUAUGUAAAUACAGAUUGUUUAUGACAAUCAAAAGCAACAAAAGGACAGAUAGUUGUUUAAAAAAGUAUUCCUCUUAGGUCUCUCUUGUUGUUGUUGUUGGUGUUGUUUUUUUAAUAAAACAAAAAGUGUUAUACCACAUUCAUUGUCAUUAUUCAUUUAGCAUGUAAGGAGGUAAGAAAAGUAAUAGCUUGUUUAUGCUAAAAUGAUAAAGGAAAGGCAUUUAUCAACUCAAAAUAUUUAUUCAAACAUGACAAAAUUUAAAUAAUAAUAUGACUGUACAUACUGUAUACAUUAGUGCAAA
Molecule: non-coding RNA, 746 nt
Organism: Misgurnus anguillicaudatus (oriental weatherfish)
Lineage: Eukaryota; Metazoa; Chordata; Actinopteri; Cypriniformes; Cobitidae
Source: RefSeq, a predicted model, not a curated record